AUUAGGAUAAAUGGGGAUAGUAGAGACCUGCUCAACUGGGCGAUUGUUAAAGUUGCUGAUCCUGGGGAUUGUGUCAUUGUAAUCCAUGUUUGUCAAAGUUCUGACCGUGCAUCGAAAGAUAAGCCCUUAUUUGAUGAAUUCCUAGAAGGAUACAAAAGCCUUUGUAAUGUAAACAAGGUAGCUCUUAUUGCUCAUAUAUUGACUGGAAGUUCGGUUAAGAAGACUCUGGUCAGACAGGCAAAAAACUAUGCUGCCAGGGCUGUGGUUUUGGGAACAAG
Molecule: unclassified non-coding RNA, 278 nt
Filed under: Hevea brasiliensis (rubber tree)
Lineage: Eukaryota; Viridiplantae; Streptophyta; Magnoliopsida; Malpighiales; Euphorbiaceae
Source: RNAcentral